Sapajus apella (tufted capuchin) is the source of this 145-nucleotide long non-coding RNA. RefSeq lists it as uncharacterized. The record is from RefSeq and is a predicted model, not a curated record. The transcript is spliced from 3 exons. Lineage: Eukaryota; Metazoa; Chordata; Mammalia; Primates; Cebidae.
CUCUUUCUCUACAGAAAUUAAAAGAUUAGCCAGAUGCGAUGAAGUGCACUUGUAGUCCCGGCUACACGGGAGACUGAGAUGGGAGGAUCACUUGAGCCCAGGAAGUGGAGGUUGCAGUGAGCUAAGAUCGUGCCACUGCACUCCA